AUCUUGUCGCUCCCAGGCUGGCUGUCUGCGCGUCACUUCAUGCAUGGACAGGCCCGCGUGUAGUAGGCCUGCGCAUGGUGCCCAGCGUGCCUAGGCCAUGCAGAUACGACAGGGUAGCCCAUUUGCUUGCAAGCUAGCCCUGCAGUGUGUCGGGUGGGUGAGGCAGUGACCUCCUUCGUUUUUCAUGCCGAGAAUAUUUUUCUCUCUCUCUUUAUCGAAUUUUGCCACUUGGUGCAAAUCCAACAGUUUUCAUUUUCUCUAAAUAGGGGCCUUUCCUUCCCAUUUUCUCCACACUUCCAUUCUUCCACCUUUCAAGAAUUAGAGAG
RNAcentral lists this long non-coding RNA (326 nucleotides) under Carica papaya (papaya). RNAcentral describes it as "long non-coding RNA (CPAP_LNC010177)". Lineage: Eukaryota; Viridiplantae; Streptophyta; Magnoliopsida; Brassicales; Caricaceae. The record is from RNAcentral.